CAUUUGAUGAUGAUUCCAUUCGAUUCCAUUCAUUGGUGAUUCCACUCAAUUCCAUUCAAUGAUUCCAUUCCAUUUCUUUCAACAAUGAUUCCAUUAGUUUCUAUUCGAUGAUCCACUUGAUUCCAUUUGACGAUGAUUCCAUUCUUGUCCAUUCGAUGAUUCCAUUUGAUUCCAUAUGAUGAUGAUUCCAUUCGAUUCCAUACGAUGAUGAUUCCAUUCGA
This 221-nucleotide long non-coding RNA is filed under the name Homo sapiens (human). RNAcentral's name for it is "long non-coding RNA NONHSAT236549". Lineage: Eukaryota; Metazoa; Chordata; Mammalia; Primates; Hominidae. The record is from RNAcentral.